GACGAACGCUGGCGGCGUGCUUAACACAUGCAAGUCGAGCGGUAAGGCCCUUUCGGGGUACACGAGCGGCGAACGGGUGAGUAACACGUGGGUGACCUGCCCUCAGCUCUGGGAUAAGCCCGGGAAACUGGGUCUAAUACCGGAUAUGACUUCAUGACGCAUGUUGUGGAGUGGAAAGCCUUGUGCGGCUGAGGAUGGGCCCGCGGCCUAUCAGCUUGUUGGUGGGGUGAUGGCCUACCAAGGCGACGACGGGUAGCCGGCCUGAGAGGGCGACCGGCCGACACUGGGACUGAGAUACGGCCCAGACUCCUACGGGAGGCAGCAGUGGGGAAUCUUGCGCAAUGGGCGAAAGCCUGACGCA
This 361-nucleotide ribosomal RNA is filed under the name uncultured bacterium. RNAcentral's name for it is "bacterial SSU rRNA". It matches the Rfam family "Bacterial small subunit ribosomal RNA", at positions 28 to 390 of the family's 1533-position model. The record is from RNAcentral.